UACGUAGGGUGCAAGCGUUGUCCGGAAUUAUUGGGCGUAAAGAGCUCGUAGGCGGCUAGUCGCGUCGGCUGUGAAAACCUGGGGCUCAACCCCGGGCCUGCAGACGAUACGGGCUAGCUAGAAUUCGGUAGGGGAGACUGGAAUUCCUGGUGUAGCGGUGAAAUGCGCAGAUAUCAGGAGGAACACCGGUGGCGAAGGCGGGUCUCUGGGCCAUUACUGACGCUGAGGAGCGAAAGCGUGGGGAGCGAACAGG
RNAcentral lists this ribosomal RNA (253 nucleotides) under uncultured bacterium. Its description in RNAcentral is "partial 16S ribosomal RNA". It matches the Rfam family "Bacterial small subunit ribosomal RNA", at positions 524 to 776 of the family's 1533-position model. The record is from RNAcentral.